AGAGUUUGAUCCUGGCUCAGGAUGAACGCUAGCGGCAGGCUUAAUACAUGCAAGUCGUGGGGCAGCACAGGUAGCAAUACUGGGUGGCGACCGGCAAACGGGUGCGGAACACGUACGCAACCUUCCUUUAAGCGGGGAAUAGCCCAGGGAAACUUGGAUUAAUACCCCAUAAAACAGUGGAGUGGCAUCAUUCUACUAUU
This 200-nucleotide ribosomal RNA is filed under the name uncultured bacterium. RNAcentral describes it as "partial 16S ribosomal RNA". It matches the Rfam family "Bacterial small subunit ribosomal RNA", at positions 8 to 202 of the family's 1533-position model. The record is from RNAcentral.